Molecule: transfer RNA, 86 nt
Filed under: Bryopsis hypnoides
Lineage: Eukaryota; Viridiplantae; Chlorophyta; Ulvophyceae; Bryopsidales; Bryopsidaceae
Description: tRNA-Leu
Source: RNAcentral
UGGGGAUAGAGGGACUUGAACCCUCACGAUUGUUUAAAAUCAACGGAUUUUAAGUCCGCAGCGUCUACCAAUUCCGCCAUAUCCCC